AGAAGUUUUGCCGUUAGCAUUUUUUGCUUUGAGUAUCUAGUGAUGGAGAAUGCUCUAAAAAAUACAAGGAGACAGGAGGAUGCUUUAUCUAUUUGGCUUAGUCACUGGUUCAGGGUGAAGUUUCAUAAUUUAUUCUGAUAAUCUGGAGGGGAUGACCUCCUUCACAGCACUGUCAAAGUCUGCCUUGAACAAGCUCAUUUCACUAUAUAACUGCCUAAAGACAAGACUGAUUAUUUAAGGAUUUCAGGGAUAUCAUUUGGGGAAUAACUCACCAGGUAGAGAAAGUUUGACCUGAUAUGUUAACAGGCACAACAAGAACUUAUUUCAGUGCUUUCUCACCAUCUGCCCCUUCUCUGAGAGUUUAGCCUUUCUUAGGAUACUUCCUUUCCCAGGCUAGAAAAGAUUGAUUGUAUUCAUAUCGCAAAGUAAAGGCUCCUCCAAUUCUAUCAGAUGUGGAGGCAACAGAAAAUGACUCAUGUUAUUUUUCUCUCACUUCACAGCAUCAAGAACCCUUCUUGUUUAUGUGUGGGCCAUGGUGGGUUAGCUUAAGGAACUGUCAAAUUAAAAUGAAAGGAAAGCAAGUUGGGGCAAGAAAAUUCUCACUCUGAAUGUGAAAGAAAAUAGCAGUGUUCUUCUCUCUGGCAAAGAUUUGUGUAUUGUUGGGGGAAGAUUCAUGUUAUUUCUCAGGUAGACUUUACUUUUUGAGAUUCUGUGUGUGUGUGUGUGUGUGUGUGUGUGUGUGUGUCGGCUGGUGGGGGGUUAGAGGCAGAUAGAAUGUAGUUGUUUAUGAGUUUAUACUUUCUCUUUAGCAUAAUGAUGCCUUGUUUAUUUUCUCAGAAUGUAACAAUAAAAUUAGGAAUGGAGAGGAAUUCAGAGGCCCAUGUUGCAGUUCAUGGUAAAGUUUUACCCAAAUAUUUCCUUCAGAAACAUUUAGUCCUAGCAAGCCAAAUAAAUUCUUACCUGCAACUGGUAUCAGAAAAAGAAAUCAGGAGGUGGGGACUGUAGACCCCGAUGCUGCAUCUGUUUACAGUCUUUCUUUUCCAAGGUUUUAGGGUUCAUGAAUAACAUGAGGGAAUUUUGAGAGAGCUACCACAUCAGUACUUUGGCAUGCAUUAACUGUUCCACAGGAAAACUAGCGUUGCUUCAGGGCUAUUUUUGUUUGAAAUGGCACACAUACAAAAAAAAAAAAAGACUUUUGGAACAUGUUUUGAGGGCUGUCACCUGAAAUCAGCCUUUGCUGAAAGAGUAUUUAGUUUGAUAAGCGGGAUUUCUUGCUUCUCGCAUCCCAGAGUGUAAAUUCUGCAGCGAUUCCUGGGUGUAUGUUUUCAGCACCAGGGACAGCAAACAACCCCCUGAACUGAAGGGGCUUGCUCUCCUGAUUGACCUCCCAGACUAGGAAUGAGUUAUUUUGUUUUCCUUUAUUUCCUAUCUACCGGGGCCUCAACUUGGAAAACUUUAUUCUUAAGGUGCUUACAUCUUUUAUUUAUUACCAAGCCUAGCUUAGCUGUCUCUGUCACAUUCUUGACCUCCUAACAAAUGGGUUUGGAGUAACACUCCCAGGCCUCCUGGCUCAGAGAAGUAGAAAGAAAUACACUAGACUUCAUUUGAAGGGCACAUUUUAGAGUAGGCUCCCCCUACACAAGUCUUUAUAACAUACCACUGACUCGUAAACCCCUAAAUGAAGGACUGCUUAUACACAAUCACUUUCCUUUUAAAAUUUCUGCACAUUUCUCACAAUGUACAAGUCUAUGUUUGACUCAGUGUGCAUCUGGAGGCAAUAUUUCACAGCAGUUGAGCAGAAGCUAUGAAGUUUGGGGACAGAAAAGAUCCCAGUGAUGCUGCUGUUAUUCAUUUUGGAGACUCACUGGGGGCACUUCUUUGAUUCUCAGCAUCCACCCUUCAACCCUGAGUGCUCUUCAACAGCUGUUUUUGCCUUAAACAAUUACAAUAAGAAUGCAAAUGACUCCUUGUGGCAUUCUUCAGGCCAGACUGAAGGGUGCACUGAGAAAACAAGGGUAGUAGAAGCACAUGUUGUCACAUUGCUUUGUGAUUGGCCAGUUUUUAUAUAGCACAAUGACACAAAGAUAUCAUCUUAGAGUCGGCACUGUCUACUCUUAACUAAUUGUCAGCAUCUUCUCCACUCAUGUCAGGAUGAAUUCUGUGUUGUGAAGGCAAGUCAGUCACCGCAGGUUUCAUCGUAAAUAUUGCCUUCUAUCUCACAGAUGUUAGAAAACCUCCAUUUUGAAUGCCUCUGUACCAUCCAAGGCUCUGAAUUUCCCCUAUAUCUUAUCCCUUUCUUUCCAUUCCCUUUUCAUGUUGCUUAUCAUAACAUCCAUAACAUUUAGUGGUGUAAGACAAUAAGGGGUUUCUUUUAGGAAUAAAUGAGGUGGAAAAAGUAGGCCAGAGCCAGAUCUUAGAGGGGCAAGUUCAGUGGAACUAUGAUCUCUAACUUGGGAGUAGGUGUAAGAUGUAGCCAUCCAUUCCUUCCAUUCCUUGUCCUCUUGAGUGAAUCUCAUUCCAGUGCUCACACUUGCCCUGCAAAAAAGGCCAUGGCACAAGAUUCUCUAGAUUACUUGUAUGAAGACUGGAGGUGAGCAGCAUCCAACACCUCUGUUAGAGUUCUUUAGAAUAGAGGAGUUUGUCUUAUAUUUAAAUCCAGGGACCUUCCUAUAUUUAAAAAGUUUAUAAAUAAUAUGUACAGAAAGAACGUAUGGGGAUAGGAAAGCUUAAUAAUACAAGUUAUUUUCCCUUAGAACAGAGAGGAAGGAGCUGCAAAGUGACUACUAAUGGAGGAACAAUCUGCUGGCUGGGGGAUAUGUGGCCUGAGACUAGAGAUGCAGAGCAGGCAUCUCUAGAAGGAGAGAUGAUGCCAAUAGAAGCCCCAGGAGGGAACUGGCCAGUGAAUACAAUUUUAUAAAAGUUCUCUGUACUUUUUCUGAAAAAAUUCCUAAAAUUUUCAAGGGCGCGUCUAGCUCUCUGCCUCUUUAGAGGUGAGCUCAGUGCUACUUCUGGGUUCUUAAGGCAAAUGCCCUACAAACACCAAAGUCUUGUAUUUUCCACUCUCGGCCGGCACUGGCUAAGUGGGAUUUUUUUUUUCCCUUCCCUAAGUGAAAGGGACUUGUUUUCAGGAGAAGUGUCCUUUAAACAUCCAGCUAAAACUGGAAGUAAUUUUUUGCAUGAAUGGCUUUUUACAGCUAGGUCUACAGCAGAACAAAACUUGUAUUAAACUAAGUGCUACUUUACAUAUCUUAUUUCAAGGGAAAUGAAGGAUUUAUUGUCGUGUAAAUGAUAUACACUGAUUUGUUUCCUACUGGACAUUACAUGUCCCUUUAUCUUUAGGCUGAUGUUGUGCAGCAAACUUUCAAUAUCUGGAAAAUCAGCUGGUACCUACUUCAGUGCAUUAUUAGGAUAUUACGUUCCCUGAGAGGAAUUUUGCCAAUGAAGUUUAGGUACUGUUGUAACUGAUUUCCAUCCCCCCUCCCUAAGCUUCUGUACUAAGUAUAUGUAAAGCUAUUAUAUCUUGUCUGAUCCCACGUGUUCGUGUGUGUUUCCCAAUGUUUGCAUAAAUAUAUUGGCAAUCUGAAGGGUUAGCUGGAUUAUGGCAACUGCUGAACAAUGGUAUGUGUGGCAUGUGGGACACCUGAUACCUGUGCACACCUGUUCUGAGGCCAAGCUAAUUUUACAGAUAUUGGAAAAGGAAAAACAGCAGCAACGUGUGGCUUGAAUUGAAGAAAGCUUAACAAUGAAUACGGUAUUGCCAAGUCAUCAUUUAUGGGUGGAGACGUUGACCACAGCAGAGCUGAGGCUUCUGGAAAAUGCUGAUCAUGAUUGCUUCCUAUCAUUUGGAUCCCAAAGUUGAUAACUUAACAUAAGUGUCUGAGGUUUUAGUAGAACUGGGUUUUACUAAUCGUAUCUCCUCCUUGAGGUGCUGUUUCCUUCAUUCUUUUCCUUUAUGACAGGUGAAUGCAUUGGCUAUGCUAAUUUUAUUUGCAUCCUGGCGAGUCUUGGAGAAUCAAUCUAGUUAAAGUGAUGACUGCAUUUGCCUUUGGAGAAGAGGUUUAUUGUCUAAGUAAAACUCUUAUGUGAAGGUGUCCUUUAUGCAAAAAAAAAAAAAAAAAAUUCUAACUUGAUAAGAUGGCCACAGGUUAGAGGGGUGUGUUCUCAGUUGAUAUUAAGGGAUAUGUUGAAAAGGCAAAUGCCCAUCCUCUAUUCUUCAUCUCACCCUUCCUUUCUCCCCAACCUCAAAAGAAAACAGAAAAUUAUUUUUUUAAACUGUAUUAAUAAUUUAUGUUUAAUACAAAAGGAUGAUUUAAUGGUAUCACCAAAGGUCGUUUCUCCCAUUGUGCGUGUCUUUCAGUCUCAGCCCCAUACCCAUCACCCCAUUCUUCACCCUCAUGCUUCCAUCCCAAGGCAAACGUAUGUCUUCAUCGGAAUCUAUGGGUGUUGAAGUUAAAUGUGGGGGCAGAGAUUUAACACCAUGACACUAAUACAAAUCAACCAUUCUUCACUUUCAAAUGGUUAAUCACUACAGGAAGGCGAACUCUUCUCUUGGUUUUUGUUUAAAAGCAUUUUAUACAUAUAUAUGUAUAUAUGUGUGUGUAUGUAUGGACAUAGGUAUGUAUAUGCACAUGUACAUGUAUAUAUGUAUAUACCCAUCUUCAAUAUAAAUAUAUCGUAAGUGAGAGUUGUAAAUACUCCUUGGUCAUGUGUCUGUCUUUCUCAUAGUAUCAUAUCUUCAAUGUUAUGUUCACAACUCCAUUUAUUGAUUGAUGAAAUUGUGUGUAGACCUGUAUCCUCCUGACAUAGUUUAUGUAGGGUCUCUUCUCAAAUAAAGUAUAAAACAACAA
Molecule: long non-coding RNA, 4847 nt
Organism: Nomascus leucogenys (northern white-cheeked gibbon)
Lineage: Eukaryota; Metazoa; Chordata; Mammalia; Primates; Hylobatidae
Exons: 2
Source: RefSeq, a predicted model, not a curated record